GACGUAGGUGGCGAACGUUAUCCGGAAUCAUUGGGCGUAAAGGGUGCGUAGAUGGUCUAGUAAGUUAUUGGUGGAAAAUCGAGGCUCAACCUCGUGGAAGCUGGUAAUACUGUUAUGCUAGAGUGCAGGAGAGGUUAACGGAACUCCAUGUGGAGCGGUAAAAUGUGUAGAUAUCGGGAGGAACACCUGUGGCGAAAGCGGCUCACUGGACCACAACUGACGCUGAGGCGCGAAAGCUAGGGGAGCAAACAGG
RNAcentral lists this ribosomal RNA (253 nucleotides) under uncultured bacterium. Its description in RNAcentral is "partial 16S ribosomal RNA". It matches the Rfam family "Bacterial small subunit ribosomal RNA", at positions 524 to 776 of the family's 1533-position model. The record is from RNAcentral.